UACGAAGGGGACUAGCGUUGUUCGGAAUUACUGGGCGUAAAGCGCACGUAGGCGGAUUUGUUAGUCAGGGGUGAAAUCCCGGGGCUCAACCUCGGAACUGCCUUUGAUACUGCAAGUCUCGAGUCCGAUAGAGGUGGGUGGAAUUCCUAGUGUAGAGGUGAAAUUCGUAGAUAUUAGGAAGGACACCGGUGGCGAAGGCGGCCCACUGGAUCGGUACUGACGCUGAGGUGCGAAAGCGUGGGGAGCAAACAGG
Molecule: ribosomal RNA, 253 nt
Filed under: uncultured bacterium
Lineage: Bacteria
Description: partial 16S ribosomal RNA
Rfam family: Bacterial small subunit ribosomal RNA
Source: RNAcentral